Long non-coding RNA from Paramacrobiotus metropolitanus, 425 nucleotides. RefSeq lists it as uncharacterized. Lineage: Eukaryota; Metazoa; Tardigrada; Eutardigrada; Parachela; Macrobiotidae. The transcript has 3 exons. The record is from RefSeq and is a predicted model, not a curated record.
GCAACCUGUUGGGCGCUUUUAACAUGCACAACUGCCCAAUGGUGCCAGAGCAGGCGGUGGACGUGGCGGCCGAGGCGGAGGGUCUCGUUCGGGUACAACAAGCAAUAGUUCUCGCUCCAGCUCAUCAAGUGGCAGUUCUCGCUGGGGUUCCAGCUCCAGUAGUGGAUCAAGCAGAUGGAGUGCAUCAGCAGUACUUCCAGGUUUCACCUAUAAACAACGUAGCCCUCCAAGCAAAAUACCGGAAGCUUAUCUUGGCGCAUUCAGUAAUGGGGAAGACAAGAUGAACCACAUUAGCGCUUUGUGGAAUAUUUUCAAUAUUUCGGACACAACCGAUCUGACGAAGGGGAACACCUUCGAAUUCGUACCGGGAAGUUUCGGCGAAUACGAUGCAUAUUGCGUUGUCUUUAAAAAUGCCCCCAGCAGCC